This 236-nucleotide long non-coding RNA is filed under the name Astyanax mexicanus (Mexican tetra). RNAcentral describes it as "lncRNA (ENSAMXG00005006292.1)". The record is from RNAcentral. Lineage: Eukaryota; Metazoa; Chordata; Actinopteri; Characiformes; Acestrorhamphidae.
AUUGAUUAUGACAGGCAGUACCUUUUCUAAAUGCACACUGCAUUGUGCUUUUCCAACAGAGAAACAGUACUACACAAAGAUGCUAAGACAUAGCCACCCACAUGGAAUGAAUUUUAAAGCUGCCUGGGAUGGAUUAUUGAAGGACGCCAUUAGGAACCUCUACAAGUGCAAUGCAAGUGCCUCUGCAUUAGACCCUGUUCAGAAUGCAGUGUUUGCAUGGGGCUACAGUGUGAAAG